CGAUGAACCACUUCGGUGGGGAUUAGUGGCGAACGGGUGAGUAACACGUGGGCAAUCUGCCCUGCACUCUGGGACAAGCCCUGGAAACGGGGUCUAAUACCGGAUACUGACCAUCUUGGGCAUCUUUGAUGGUCGAAAGCUCCGGCGGUGCAGGAUGAGCCCGCGGCCUAUCAGCUAGUUGGUGAGGUAAUGGCUCACCAAGGCGACGACGGGUAGCCGGCCUGAGAGGGCGACCGGCCACACUGGGACUGAGACACGGCCCAGACUCCUACGGGAGGCAGCAGUGGGGAAUAUUGCACAAUGGGCGAAAGCCUGAUGCAGCGACGCCGCGUGAGGGAUGACGGCCUUCGGGUUGUAAACCUCUUUCAGCAGGGAAGAAGCGAAAGUGACGGUACCUGCAGAAGAAGCGCCGGCUAACUACGUGCCAGCAGCCGCGGUAAUACGUAGGGCGCAAGCGUUGUCCGGAAUUAUUGGGCGUAAAGAGCUCGUAGGCGGCUUGUCACGUCGGUUGUGAAAGCCCGGGGCUUAACCCCGGGUCUGCAGUCGAUACGGGCAGGCUAGAGUUCGGUAGGGGAGAUCGGAAUUCCUGGUGUAGCGGUGAAAUGCGCAGAUAUCAGGAGGAACACCGGUGGCGAAGGCGGAUCUCUGGGCCGAUACUGACGCUGAGGAGCGAAAGCGUGGGGAGCGAACAGGAUUAGAUACCCUGGUAGUCCACGCCGUAAACGGUGGGCACUAGGUGUGGGCAACAUUCCACGUUGUCCGUGCCGC
RNAcentral lists this ribosomal RNA (768 nucleotides) under Streptomyces lienomycini. RNAcentral's name for it is "bacterial SSU rRNA". It matches the Rfam family "Bacterial small subunit ribosomal RNA", at positions 67 to 849 of the family's 1533-position model. The record is from RNAcentral. Lineage: Bacteria; Bacillati; Actinomycetota; Actinomycetes; Kitasatosporales; Streptomycetaceae.